AACGCACAUUGCGCCCACUGGUAUUCCGGUGGGCAUGCCUGUUCGAGCGUCAUUAUCCUCCCUCAAACCCCGGGUUUGGUGUUGGGCCAGGUCGUCGGCGACGGCGACCGGCCCCAAAGACAAUGACGGCGUCCGCGGGACCCUCGGUGCAACGAGUUCUUAGGAGCACGCAUCGAGUCUAAACAGUCCCUCCGGGCCGGCCACCUUUUUAAUUUUUACAAGGUUGACCUCGGAUCAGGUAGGAAUACCCGCUGAACUUAA
RNAcentral lists this unclassified non-coding RNA (261 nucleotides) under Exophiala sp. RNAcentral's name for it is "partial contains 5.8S ribosomal RNA, internal transcribed spacer 2, and large subunit ribosomal RNA". The stretch from base 1 to 52 matches the Rfam family "5.8S ribosomal RNA", at positions 103 to 154 of the family's 154-position model. Lineage: Eukaryota; Fungi; Ascomycota; Eurotiomycetes; Chaetothyriales; Herpotrichiellaceae. RNAcentral also lists the same sequence under 1 other name. The record is from RNAcentral.